AGAUUGAACGCUAGCGGGAUGCUUUACACAUGCAAGUCGAACGGCAGCGCGGACUUCGGUCUGGCGGCGAGUGGCGAACGGGUGAGUAAUAUAUCGGAACGUGCCCAGUAGCGGGGGAUAACUACGCGAAAGCGUGGCUAAUACCGCAUACGCCCUACGGGGGAAAGGGGGGGAUUCUUCGGAACCUCUCACUAUUGGAGCGGCCGAUAUCAGAUUAGCUAGUUGGUGAGGUAAAGGCUCACCAAGGCGACGAUCUGUAGCUGGUUUGAGAGGACGACCAGCCACACUGGGACUGAGACACGGCCCAGACUCCUACGGGAGCAGCAGUGGGAAUUUGGACAAGUGGGGGAAACCCUGAUCCAGCCAUCCCGCGUGUGCGAUGAACGGUCCGUUCGGGUUAGUAAGUCACGUUUUAGGACGUAGGGAAGAACGGCGUA
RNAcentral lists this ribosomal RNA (437 nucleotides) under uncultured soil bacterium. Its description in RNAcentral is "bacterial SSU rRNA". It matches the Rfam family "Bacterial small subunit ribosomal RNA", at positions 26 to 461 of the family's 1533-position model. The record is from RNAcentral.